RNAcentral lists this transfer RNA (62 nucleotides) under Cucujoidea sp. 4 KM-2017. RNAcentral describes it as "tRNA-His". The record is from RNAcentral. Lineage: Eukaryota; Metazoa; Arthropoda; Insecta; Coleoptera.
AUUUAAGUAGUUUAUUUAAAAUAAUGAUUUGUGGUGUCAUAGAAAUUUUUUAAUCUUAAAUU